UGGGGAAUAUUUGACAAUGGGCGCAAGCCUGAUCCAGCCAUGCCGCGUGUGUGAAGAAGGCCUUUUGGUUGUAAAGCACUUUAAGCGAGGAGGAGGCUACUUGGAUUAAUACUCUAGGAUAGUGGACGUUACUCGCAGAAUAAGCACCGGCUAACUCUGUGCCAGCAGCCGCGGUAAUACAGAGGGUGCGAGCGUUAAUCGGAUUUACUGGGCGUAAAGCGUGCGUAGGCGGCUUCUUAAGUCGGAUGUGAAAUCCCUGAGCUUAACUUAGGAAUUGCAUUCGAUACUGGGAAGCUAGAGUAUGGGAGAGGAUGGUAGAAUUCCAGGUGUAGCGGUGAAAUGCGUAGAGAUCUGGAGGAAUACCGAUGGCGAAGGCAGCCAUCUGGCCUAAUACUGACGCGGAGGUACGAAAGCAUGGGGAGCAAACAGG
Molecule: ribosomal RNA, 430 nt
Filed under: Bacillota bacterium
Lineage: Bacteria; Bacillati; Bacillota
Description: Firmicutes bacterium partial 16S ribosomal RNA
Rfam family: Bacterial small subunit ribosomal RNA
Source: RNAcentral